Erpetoichthys calabaricus (reedfish) is the source of this 4450-nucleotide RNA transcript. It is a transcript of the gene named gastrula zinc finger protein XlCGF7.1-like, with no coding region annotated. Lineage: Eukaryota; Metazoa; Chordata; Cladistia; Polypteriformes; Polypteridae. The transcript has 5 exons. The record is from RefSeq and is a predicted model, not a curated record.
CCCAACAGAGUGAAGCCCUCGUAAAUUCUCAUAUUUUAUCUAGAAAGUAUGUACGUUUUACAUUUGGGCUUAGAAAAACACGAGGAAUCAAACUUCGUGCAUGGAGAAGCAUACGGAAGAACAGGAUAAAAAUAAACAAUGUACAAUUCUGUCAUAAAAAUUGAACGAACUCUAACUGUGACCCUGUGCAGAAAACGGUGCUGUCUUUACCAGUGUCCGUUGUAUCCCGUGGGCAAGUACCUGAAACUUUUCAUGGGCACAACUACAUUUUGAGGGGCACUAAAAAUCAGUAUUACACACAACUUUUCAAAUAUGUUUACGCAGUCUGGAUCACAGACAAUAAUCUCCCUAUCAUUGCUACUUGUGUACAAAGACAAGAACAUCAGUGUUAUGUUUUAAAAGAACACGACUAUGACAAGUGUGACAAGUUUCAGGACAUGAACAAGUGCCUGUCUGAACUGCAUGAUAAAAAGAGAUUGUGUCUUCAUGCCCAAGUCCUGAGCAACAGUGAUGAUAAAUAUUCUGAAAAGGAGUCCAAGUAAAGGUUUCUGUUAUUGGAUUGCAUGCAGCACACUUUUGUUUUCUGCUCGACUGUGUGAUUGAGCCCAUGCCUUACACUCAGUGCUACUGGGAAAACAGUAAUGCCAGUAUCUGUACAUCAAUAAGAUAAGUAUUAUGUUAGGUUACUCGUUACUUUAAAAAGUAACCCAAUUAUGUAACGCAUUUUACUUUUAAUGCUGCUAGAUUGUGGUGUUCAGUUUAGCACUGUACUUUCAGCUGAUCAACAUAAGUUUAGCGAUUUCUGAAAUAUUGAAACAGAUAAUUUCAUAAUACAAUCGUCCAAGCAUUUGCCUCAGGAAGCUGAUCUUGUGGACACAUCUACCUAUGGCUGCUGAGAGUUUGUGCAAAGCUAACACAUGCGCAGGUGAAAGAGAGAGUGCAACGGACAUAAGUGGACUGCAAAUUGUAUCCCGAUUAAGUUUUCAUGGCCACAUAAUCAGGUUACUCCUGUCUGUUCGCCCCAUUUCUCUAAACCAGUGGUCUCAAACUCCAGUCCAGGAGGACCACCGUGGCUGCAGGUUUUCAUUCGAACCCUUUUCUUAAUUAGUGACCUGUUUUUACUGCUAAUUAACUUCUUUUGCAUUAACUGUACUUGACUUGCUCUUGAAGACUCAGCCCCCUUAAUUGUUUCUUUUCCUUUAAUUAGCAGCCAUACAAUAAGGAGAUACAAAAUGAGCCAAAACAACUGGUGUCCAUCACACAAUAGAGGAAAACAACAAUUUCAGAAAUGUCUGCUGUUGCACAAUGAGAGCAGCCAUAGAAUUAAAGAAUGGGUUUAAUAAACGACAAGACUCGGCGCCUGAUUAAGCAACUGGUUGGAGUUUGAGGCCCUGACUGAGUUAUCUUCUGUCGGCUCACUCACCUCACAUUUCAUUUCGGUUUGGGUGCCAUUUAAGGAAAGAGAUGAAGCAAUUCAGAUGAGCAAAUCUUACAAAAACAAGUAAAUUAAAAUGAAUUCAAAAGAAGUUAAUUAGCAGCAAAAACAGGUCACUGAUUAAGAAAAGGGUUAGAAUGAAAACCUACAGCCACUGCGGCCUUCCAGGACUGAACUUAGAGACCUCUGCUCUAAACAGAAUAAGGGUUUACAUGGUAUGUGGGGGGGCUGCACGGUGGCGCAAUGGGUAGCGCUGCUGCCUUGCAGUUGGGAGACCUGGGGACCCGGGUUCGCUUCCCGGGCCCUCCCUGCGUGGAGUUUGCAUGUUCUCCCCGUGUCUGCGUGGGUUUCCUCCGGGCGCUCCGGUUUCCUCCCACAGUCCAAAGACAUGCAGGUUAGGUGGAUUGGCGAUUCUAAAUUGGCCCUAGUGUGUGCUUGGUGUGUGGGUGUGUUUGUGUGUGUCCUGCGGUGGGUUGGCACCCUGCCCGGGAUUGGUUCCUGCCUUGUGCCCUGUGUUGGCUGGGAUUGGCUCCAGCAGACCCCCGUGACCCUGUGUUCGGAUUCAGUGGGUUGGAAAAUGGAUGGAUGGAUGGUAUGUGGGAGCCUAGUUUUGUAUAAGCUUUUUUAUGUUUUGUUAAUUUGAAGAUAUGUUAAAUUUAUUUCAUAGUUCAAGAUUAGUUUAUGCAUUAAGAGAGGCAGAUAAUGAUACAGUAUUAAUGGGGUAUUGUUUCUUUAAGAAGGGGUGCGUGGAUUAACAGGGCAGUGGAAACACACAGUUUUCUUACCGUGUGUGUCUUAUGUUUCAUUGUGUAACUGUGGAAAUAUAUAACGUGGAAAAUAACCGUCAUUUGAUUUACACAACAACAGAGUGGAUAAAUGUGAAACGCCAUGGACUGGACACGCGUAAGUUACUGCCGUAGCCACACGUUGUUUCGCGCCUAGAAGUCAGGUUUCUGUGAAUAACCGAGUUAGUACAGCACAUGCAAACAUACUGAGUGUCUGCGGCCUUGUGAAUGAUUUCACAAGCGUUUUCCAACACAUCCCAGUCAGCCCAAACACGCAGUCUUGUAAUGUUUCAACUCUCUCAGCAGACCAUGAGUGUAUGGGUGUUCUUUUUCCACUUUUGCUUAUAAGUGGAUAGCAACGGCAGCGUAAAAUGGUCAGAAUUACACAGCAGUGUGUGAGGUAAAGGGCUACAGGCGUCCUGUAUAGCACAGUAGAAGUGCACAAUACGUGGGGUGUCUGCCCGCUCUACAAAGUACUGUUAGAUCCAGCAGAAGAGACAUAGCAGGCUGCUAUUUGAUUUUUGUAGUUUUAUUUUAUCCUUCCUUGAUAUUGUUAUUUUUAAACAAUUUUUGAAUUGCCAGUUGUUCAGGAUGUUAUAAGUGCACUUUCUUUUUUUCAGCAUGCACCUGGGUGUUUUUCUGAUAUGUUCUUUUCUCUAUUCUUGAGUCUGUAUAUUAUAUAAUAGCAUAAUCUGCAACAUAUAUUGAAGUGCAUUUUGCAAGAAAGUGAAUUGAACUCUCUUGUAGUCAGAGGUUAUAGUAUAGAAAGCAAAGUCAAAUUCAUUUUAAGUGACUUUUCCUAUACAUCUUGAUUCCUCUAUUUGUUUAUCCCUUUGACGUAAUCUAUGUUGUUUGAGCCAGCGUCCAUUCAUCUAUCAGCAAUUUCCAUUUCAAAGUCACCGAUCUAUCUCAGUGACAUCAGGCACAGAGCACCAAUACAUCUCCAAGCCCUGUCAUGGCAGAUGAGUUUAUAGUCACCAGGUAGCCCAAUGUGCCUGUCUUUCAAACUGAAGAAGAGAACCACGAGACCACGGGACAUGCAAACUCCACACACACUGUGACCCUUUACUGAAACAAAGUAUUCGGGUGGGGAUGGGGUCUGACAGCUGCAACUUUUUUAACCCUUCAUAAUUAAUUGAAUUUAUUUUUAUUUAACCAGAGAUUAAAUUAAACUACUAGGGUUGUCUUGUUAUUGUAUGCUAGCUUCAUUCUAACAGGAAUAAACUAUUGUACACUAAAUUAUGAUGUCUUCUGUACUUCUUAUGUGAAAUUGUGCAUUUAUGUAUUUCUGCAGAUUUACAAGAAAGCAGCACCUUCUCCUCAUCAUCAUUUCCUCGGGCCUCUCUGCACUGUAGACCACUGCAAAAUGACAACAUGAAACAAGUCAAAUUCAAAUCAGAAAUGUUAUUGCCGACCUCAUUGCCAUAUAUUUAUCUGCCUUGUGGGAAAUUAAAAAGGGUAGAUGCUAGCACUACUCAACCUCUGGCGCACAAGGCAAAUCCAGUAGCUUUGUAUGUUUGCCAGGAGCAGAGAAAAACUUCUGAACAAAAACCUGACACAAAGCAAAAGAGAAAUCAUACAAGACGGAAACCUUUCCGUUGUUCUGAAUGUGAAAAACAGUGGUCCAAAAGUAGCCAUUUAAAGGCCCACGAAAGAAUUCACACUGGAGAGAAGCCAUAUUUCUGUCUUGAAUGUGGCAAACAUUUCUCUUGCAGGAGCAAUCUUCAGAAGCAUAGAAGAAUUCACACUGGAGAGAAGCCAUAUUGCUGCUCAGGGUGUGGGAAACGAUUCUCUUGCAGUAGCAAUUUUCAGAAACAUACAAGAAUCCACACCGGGGAGAGGCUGUAUAGCUGUUCAGACUGUGGUAAAGAAUUCUUACAUAGAAACAAUCUUGACGUGCACAAAAGAAUUCACAUUGGCGUUAUGCAUGAGGCCCCAGGACUCUGAACAAAUCCAAAUCGUAUUAUGUGAUAUCAUCUACUGUUGAAUUCUGCUCUGUUCUUGUAAUAUUUCUAUUGCACUAUUAUAUUGUACUGAGGAUUACUUGUGUUCUGUUCUGUGUAUUGCAUUGUAUUUACCUUCUUCUCUUUGAUACCUACUGCAUGCCCAACCUACCUGGAAAGGGGUCUGUCUGUGAAGAUCUCUUGCCCAAGGUUUCUUCCAUUUUUUUUUUUCUCUACAAGUAUUUUUAUUUUGGGGAAUUUUUCCUUGUCUUUUUAGAGAGUGAAGG